CCUGCAAGUUGUAGAAAGCUGUCCGGGUCAUUCUCCGACGUUAAUGUGUGGCUCUCCCCCCUGAUUUCUGUUAAGAGGGGCCCUUCCAUUCCUCAGCGGUAACGUAUAUUAGCGUCUCUUAGUUUCUUGGCUAUAGGUGCCAGUUUUCUUUUUUCUGUGAGGGCGGAGAAUGGUGUAUCUGGGUAUAUAGCUACCCUGUGCCCCUCAUUAGGUAUUGUCCCCAAUUCUCUAGUUUGGGUCAUUAUGGCAGAUCUCACGGA
Non-coding RNA from Pelobates cultripes (western spadefoot toad), 260 nucleotides. The record is from the annotation of a GenBank genome assembly. NCBI's taxonomy places the organism in Eukaryota, Metazoa, Chordata, Amphibia, Anura, Pelobatidae.